ACGAACGCUGGCGGCGUGCUUAACACAUGCAAGUCGGACGGAAAGGCCCUGCUUUUGUGGGGUGCUCGAGUGGCGAACGGGUGAGUAACACGUGAGUAACCUGCCCUUGACUUUGGGAUAACUUCAGGAAACUGGGGCUAAUACCGGAUAGGAGCUCCUGCUGCAUGGUGGGGGUUGGAAAGUUUCGGCGGUUGGGGAUGGACUCGCGGCUUAUCAGCUUGUUGGUGGGGUAGUGGCUUACCAAGGCUUUGACGGGUAGCCGGCCUGAGAGGGUGACCGGCGACAUUGGGACUGAGAGACGGCCCAGACUCCUACGGGAGGCAGCAGUGGGGAAUAUUGCACAAUGGGCGGAAGCCUGAUGCAGCAACGCCGCGUGCGGGAUGACGGCCUUCGGGUUGUAAACCGCUUUCGCCUGUGACGAAGCGUGAGUGACGGUAAUGGGUAAAGAAGCACCGGCUAACUACGUG
This 467-nucleotide ribosomal RNA is filed under the name uncultured bacterium. RNAcentral describes it as "partial 16S ribosomal RNA". It matches the Rfam family "Bacterial small subunit ribosomal RNA", at positions 29 to 507 of the family's 1533-position model. The record is from RNAcentral.